ACUCAAAUGAAUAGACGGGGGCCCGCACAAGCGGUGGAGUAUGUGGUUUAAUUCGAAGCAACGCGCAGAACCUUACCUGGGCUUAACAUCCACUGACAUCCCCAGAGAUGGGGCUUCUCCUUCGGGAGCAGUGAGAUAGGUGCUGCAUGGCUGUCGUCAGCUCGUGUCGUAAGAUGUUGGGUUAAGUCCCGCAACGAGCGCAACCCUUGCCUUUAGUUGCCACCAUUAAGUUGGGCACUCUGAAGGGACUGCCGGUGUUAAACCGGAGGAAGGCGGGGAUGACGUCAAGUCCUCAUGGCCCUUACGUCCAGGGCUACACACGUACUACAAUGGCAGAGACAAAGGGUCGCGAAGCCGCGAGGUGGAGCUAAUCCCAAAAACACUGUCUCAGUCCGGAUUGAAGUCUGCAACUCGACUUCAUGAAGCUGGAAUCGCUAGUAAUCGCAGAUCAGCACGCUGCGGUGAAUACGUUCCCGGGCCUUGUACACACCGCCCGU
RNAcentral lists this ribosomal RNA (497 nucleotides) under uncultured bacterium. Its description in RNAcentral is "partial 16S ribosomal RNA". It matches the Rfam family "Bacterial small subunit ribosomal RNA", at positions 899 to 1397 of the family's 1533-position model. The record is from RNAcentral.